Bos indicus x Bos taurus (hybrid cattle) is the source of this 313-nucleotide long non-coding RNA. NCBI's taxonomy places the organism in Eukaryota, Metazoa, Chordata, Mammalia, Artiodactyla, Bovidae. The record is from Ensembl.
AGUCAGAAGGUUGGCUCGGCACAGCGCUGGGAUGUGUGGAAGUCAGAGAAGCAUGUGAAGAGACAGGUACAGCAGUUCAGCAAGAGCUAUGAGAAUCAGAGGGAAAACCGCCUUCCCCCACGCAGGUCUCUGUGGCUGGUGACCAUCUUCCCAGUGAACACACAGACAGAACUCACAGCACAGUGCCCAGGCGAGGAGAGGAGACCAAUAGCAUCCACCUUCCUCCACUUCCUACGGUCACUUGUUCCUGUGCUGCUACCAUUCUGUGUGGUUGUCGUGGGACUGCCAAUCACAAUGUCUCGCCCCAUCUUUC